UUGAACGCUGGCGGCAUGCUUUACACAUGCAAGUCGAACGGUAGCAGGCCUUCGGGUGCUGACGAGUGGCGAACGGGUGGGUAAUGCAUCGGAACGUGCCCAAUCGUGGGGGAUAACGUAGCGAAAGUUACGCUAAUACCGCAUACGCCCUGAGGGGGAAAGUGGGGGACCGCAAGGCCUCACGCGAAUGGAGCGGCCGAUGUCAGAUUAGCUAGUUGGUGGGGUAAAGGCCCACCAAGGCGACGAUCUGUAGCGGGUCUGAGAGGAUGAUCCGCCACACUGGGACUGAGACACGGCCCAGACUCCUACGGGAGGCAGCAGUGGGGAAUUUUGGACAAUGGGCGCAAGCCUGAUCCAGCCAUGCCGCGUGAGUGAAGAAGGCCUUCGGGUUGUAAAGCUCUUUCGGCGGGGAAGAAAUCGCACGGGUUAAUACCUCGUGUGGAUGACGGUACCCGAAUAAGAAGCACCGGCUAACUACGU
This 480-nucleotide ribosomal RNA is filed under the name uncultured bacterium. Its description in RNAcentral is "bacterial SSU rRNA". It matches the Rfam family "Bacterial small subunit ribosomal RNA", at positions 29 to 506 of the family's 1533-position model. The record is from RNAcentral.